Molecule: ribosomal RNA, 725 nt
Filed under: uncultured organism
Description: bacterial SSU rRNA
Rfam family: Bacterial small subunit ribosomal RNA
Source: RNAcentral
GCAUCAGAGGGGANUGGAAUUCCCGGAGUAGCGGUAAAAUGCGCAGAUAUCGGGGGGAACACCGAUGGCGAAGGCAGCUCCCUGGGAUGCACCUGACGCUAAGAGGCGAAAGCUAGGGGAGCGAACAGGAUUAGAGACCCUGGUAGUCCUAGCUGUAAACGCUGGGUGCUAGGUGUGGGACGUAGAAGUUCCGUGCCGGAGCAAACGCGAUAAGCACCCCGCCUGGGAAUUACGGUCGCAAGGCUAAAACUCAAACGAAUUGACGGGGCCCCGCACAAGCAGCGGAGCGUGUGGUUCAAUUCGAUGCUACACGAAGAACCUUACCUGGGUUUGACAUGUACGUGGUACGAAGGCGAAAGCCUAAGGACCCUUCGGGGAGCGUACACGGGUGCUGCAUGGCUGUCGUCAGCUCGUGCCGUGAGGUGUCGGGUUAAGUCCCGUAACGAGCGCAACCCUUGCCCUUAGUUACAAGUGUCUAAGGGGACUGCCGGCGGGAAGCCGGAGGAAGGUGGGGAUGACGUCAAGUCAGCAUGGCCCUUAUGUCCAGGGCUACACACACGCUACAAUGGUCAGUACAAAGGGUAGCGAAGUCGCGAGGCGGAGCGAAUCUCAACAAAGCUGAUCGUAGUUCGGAUUGCAGGCUGCAACCCGCCUGCAUGAAGCUGGAGUUGCUAGUAACCGCGCGUCAGCCAUAGUGCGGUGAAUACGUACCCGGGGCUUGUACA